This 253-nucleotide ribosomal RNA is filed under the name uncultured bacterium. Its description in RNAcentral is "partial 16S ribosomal RNA". It matches the Rfam family "Bacterial small subunit ribosomal RNA", at positions 524 to 776 of the family's 1533-position model. The record is from RNAcentral.
GACGGAGGAGGCAAGCGUUGUCCGGAAUGAUUGGGCGUAAAGCGUUCGCAGGUGGCUAUACAAGUCAGCUGUCAAAGACCGGGGCUUAACCCCGGAGAGGCAGUGGAAACUGUAUGGCUGGAGUGCGGAACAGGUAGAGGGAAUUCCUAGUGUAGCGGUGAAAUUCGUAGAGAUUGGGAAGAACACCGGUGGCGAAAGCGUUCUGCUGGCCUGCAACUGACGCUGAUGGACGAAAGCGUGGGGAGCGAAAGGG